This 1024-nucleotide long non-coding RNA is filed under the name Homo sapiens (human). RNAcentral describes it as "HSALNT0295456". The record is from RNAcentral. Lineage: Eukaryota; Metazoa; Chordata; Mammalia; Primates; Hominidae.
GCGAGACCCCGGACCAGCCCGCACCGCGGAGGACCGGAGAGGGCGAUUCGGUGAGUAUAUGGUGAGAAGGCAGCUGUCUGUGAACCAGAAGGAGGGCCCUCACCAAGAAGUGACCAUGCUGGCACCCUGAUCUUGGACUUCUGGCAUCUGGAACUAUCUAGCUAGUUUAAAGAUGAAAACUGCAGCAGAUGAGAAAGAAAAAUACAACUGGAAAACUUGGAUGAAUUAGAAACACUAAACAGUUUUCAGGAAAGCUGAGUAUCAGAGAAAAACAGAUGCUGGAGGAAAAGAAAAAAAGAGGACACAAAAACUGUCCUGGCCAAAGGGGUCAUGACCACACAUUAUCCUUGGAUGAGGGCUUCCUUUAUGGUGACAAUUGAACAGAAGCAUUUAGAGCAGAUUACAAUGCAUAUUAUACGUACAAUGAAAUCAUUGAAACAGAAAAAAGAGCCAAAAUUGAUGUCUUUGCCUUAAAUCUUGCUUCUUUCUAGUUUAUUCUCUCCACAGUGGUCGGGGCAGUCUGAGAGAAUACGGUGGAAUCGAUGGUAUGCGACUUCCAAGAAAGUUUGCUUGCUUUCAAGCCUGGAACGCCUGGGACCUUCAGUGAACCUCUUCCUCAGAUACAUGCCUGCGUAGUGUCAACUUGCUCUAUUGCUGGGAAGUGCUUGGCUGAUUAUCUUCUUCCUGCCCUGGGAGAUGUCUCACUAAUCAUUCAUUCAUUCAGCAAACAUUACAACGUUCCAGGCACUGUGCUAACUACUGAAUAUUCAGUGAUAUAGGAUAAAAUCUCUGUCCUAAAGUUGCUUGCAGUCAGAUGGGAGAAAAGCAAGUAAAUACAACAAUUUGUGAGCUUUAAAAAAGACCUAUAACAUCUUGUGAAGGAGGGGCAGAACUUAUCAUCCUCAACUAACAUAGAGAAAAUUGUCUCAUAGAGCAGGAGCUGAUAGCCCUUGGCUUUCUGGAUGGAGGAGACAGCAAUGGAGUGGAGGGAUUUCUCAGGAAUCUCCCCCAGGGGCUGCUCUAC